UAAGACGAACUGUCCUAACGUUGUUCGGAAUCACUGGGCUUAAAGGGCGCGUAGGCGGUCGAUCAAGUCAGGGGUGAAAUCCUGCAGCUUAACUGUAGAAGUGCCUCUGAUACUGAUCGUCUGGAGGGAGAUAGGGGUGUGCGGAACUUCCAGUGGAGCGGUGAAAUGCGUUGAUAUUGGAAGGAACGCCGGAGGCGAAAGCGGCGCACUGGAUCUCUACUGACGCUGAGGCGCGAAAGCCAGGGGAGCAAACGGGAUUAGAUACCCCGGUAGUCCUGGCCCUAAACGAUGGGUACUAGAUUGUAGACUGAUCAUGGGUUUACAGUCGAAGCAAAAGUGUUAAGUACCCCGCCUGGGGAGUAUGGUCGCAAGGCUG
Molecule: ribosomal RNA, 376 nt
Filed under: uncultured bacterium
Lineage: Bacteria
Description: bacterial SSU rRNA
Rfam family: Bacterial small subunit ribosomal RNA
Source: RNAcentral